AGGUGAGUCGUUGCGUCGUCUUCAUGCGUUAACAAGCAGUUUCUACUCUACAGAUGGGUGGAACAUUAAGCCUGUGUGCCGUCUCCGGGCCCAGUGUGUUUGAGAGGGAAUCACCUGUCAGCAGGCAGACUCGUGUCAUCAGACAGAAGCUGCUCUCCUGGAGGAAGGAAGAGGAGGAAUAACUCAUGGAAACAAAAGUGCGCGUACAAAAA
Molecule: long non-coding RNA, 212 nt
Organism: Sander lucioperca (pikeperch)
Lineage: Eukaryota; Metazoa; Chordata; Actinopteri; Perciformes; Percidae
Exons: 2
Source: RefSeq, a predicted model, not a curated record